AGACUUAAUCUCACAUUAAUUCUCAUUUAAUCUCUACUAAUCAUCAAUCAAUUAAAGAAUGAAAUAGAAAGGGAUUAAGGUUAUGUUUGCGUGACAAGCUGAACUUCAUCUUCUAUUCUCACUCAGACAAACGACGGCGGCGGAAAUCCCACCUUCUCCGGCGAGCGUUUUGAACGCCGCCGCGAAUCAACACCAUCUCUUCUCUCAAUCUCGUCUUCCUUUCUCUCGAUUCCGAUUCUAGACUCUCCGAUCUCGACCUCAUCUCAAGACUUCUCGGCUCACUCUCUCACUCGCGUCGUUCGAUUCUCUCAAAUCCCUCGACGAUCCAUUUCGUUUCACGGAGACAAGUUCGGAGACUCUUUGAGUUUGACGAAACCGAGUACGAAAUCUGGAGAAGUUCCUCAAGAAUUCAGAUGUACGUUGAAGGUCUAAUGAUGAAGAUCGAAGUUUGACUCUAUGUGAAGUUUCUGCAGAUUAUUGAUGAUGUUGCGUGAAUUGAAGAACGCGAGAAAGAUUGGCGAUUUUCUGUGUGGAUUCAAGGUGAAGAUUGAAGAGCUUUCGAUGGAGAUUUUCUGGUUACUUUUCGUAUAGUGAAAGAUUCGAUUGAAGAGAGAGCGUGAUUGUAGAUGAUGAAGAUUGUUGAUGUUACAAAGAAGAUGAUGGUUGAAAGUUCUGUCACGUGAAGGAGCUGAUGAAGAUUCAACAGUUUUGUGAAGGAUUCUGGAGAAUUGAGAUUGUGAAUUCAGAAGGUUGAAGCGUUGGUGAUGAUUGAAGAGCCAGUUUGUUAUCGAUUUUUCAGUUACAGGUUCGGUUUUUGUUGGUAUUAUGGGGCUGCGAAUUGAGUUUUGGAAGCAGGGUAUGAACCGAGGAGGCGGUUCGGUUUAUUUGAAAUGCAGCGUGAGGUUUUGCGCAAAAGGGAUGGUCUUGAAGAAUUGAAGAACACGUGAAAGGGCAUUUAGAUUUUUUGAUGGUUUUUGACUUUGGUCCCACUGAAAGUUCUUGUAGCAUAUGGAGAUAUUUGAAUAUUUUGUGUAAUGGAUAAUUGGACAAUUGGUAUUCUUGUAUUCUUGUAAUGAACAUCAAAUUGUAUUUUGCAGGGAAUUUUGAAUGGAAAUAUGGAUAAUGUAUGGAUAAUGAUGAAUUGAACAAUGAAUUUGAAUGUAUAUUUUUAGACAUUUUUGUAAUGAAUAUUUUGAUAAAACUAUGUCCUUGAAAUUUGAAUGAAUGAUAUAUGUCUUUUAUGCUUGUAACUUGAAUUUUAAGAAAUCCCUCGUAUGCGCCGAAUCUUGCCAUCAUGAACAAACAUAUGCUCUUGAACAAUUUGAACACAUAGCAUCAAGUAAUUACCAAUGAAUCCCCAUCUUCACCUUAAUGAAAACAUGUCUUCAAUUUAAACCC
Molecule: long non-coding RNA, 1398 nt
Organism: Vicia villosa (hairy vetch)
Lineage: Eukaryota; Viridiplantae; Streptophyta; Magnoliopsida; Fabales; Fabaceae
Exons: 3
Source: RefSeq, a predicted model, not a curated record